UGGAUUGAGAACAACGUACAAACCUUAUCGAUAAACAAUUGGAGGGCAAGUCUGGUGCCAGCAGCCGCGGUAAUUCCAGCUCCAAUAGCGUAUAUUAACGUUGUUGCAGUUAAAAAGCUCGUAGUUGAAAUGAAGGGUAGUUGUGUAAUGAAUACAUUCGUGUAUUUUGUUAUUCAACUACCCUCCUUCUAAAUUCGAUAUAUGAGUAUUAAUUUACUUGUAUAUGGUUUUAGACUUUUACUGUGAGAAAAUUAGAGUGUUCAAAGCAGGCAUUUGCUUGAAUAUAUUAGCAUGGAAUAAUCAUGUAUGAUUUUCAUGAUGUAUUUGAUUGGUUUGGUUCAUGAGAAUAAGAUUAAAAGGGACAGUUGGGGGUAUUCAUAUUCAAUAGUCAGAGGUGAAAUUCUCGGAUUUAUGGAAGAUGAACAAGUGCGAAAGCAUUUACCAAGGAUGUUUUCAUUAAUCAAGAACGAAAGUUAGGGGAUCGAAGAGGAUUAGAUACC
This 500-nucleotide ribosomal RNA is filed under the name Blastocystis hominis. Its description in RNAcentral is "bacterial SSU rRNA". It matches the Rfam family "Eukaryotic small subunit ribosomal RNA", at positions 510 to 1016 of the family's 1831-position model. Lineage: Eukaryota; Bigyra; Opalinata; Blastocystidae. The record is from RNAcentral.